AAUACGCUAAGGAGGGUCUACAACCCUACACAAGUCAAUCUGGAACAUUCACCCAUGGAUUUCCAAUUCGUAACUUCCCAAAGUCCACACUAUGCUUCUAGAACAACAUACUAAAACUUCUUUACGAUCUAACGGUUGGAUCUCCGCCAAUUGCAAAUUCAAGUGAGGGUCAAAGUUGGAUUUUACAAACUUUAGAAAUUCAAUUCGGCAAGAUCCGUACGUCAGAUUCCCAAUCCGUAAGUUCCUAAUGUCCACAAAUAUUACGUACUAUCAUGUAUUAAAUUUAGUGUUGAUUCAACGGUCGGAUCGUCCAUUCAUAUAAUAACCAAGUGACGGCCAACUAGGUGGUCCACUAUGAAACUAUAUUAAAACAUCAGGAUUUCACUAAACAAAUGUCAAUUAUGGAAUAAGGGCAUCAAAUUAGCCUAGGAUGGUCAGGUGAGCUCUCGGCCCACGUGCUGCCGCAUGUGGCGACCAACCUCCCCGACUUGCCCAAGAAAUCAAUAUUUCCAAAAAGUACCAAAUUUCACAUAAAUGAAGAUGGGUAGCUUCAAUUCGACUUCUCCGGUGCUCUGCCACCUUCAAGGUUGUUAAGGGUUUGUUCCUGGGCUCAAGGAGGGUCUAAUGGUGGUGGAGAUCGAGGCAAUUUCAUUCAAAAUUGGCGGAUUGCCACUAAGAACCUAGCCUAAUCUUUGGUGAUCAAUGAAGGAGGCGUGGUGUGGUGAUGUUUGUAGGUGUUGGAAAGUCUUGAUUCAUCGGAAAAAAAUGGAGAUCAUCGGAAAAAGGCUUGGGGAGGUCCGAGUCGAAGGUUGGAUCACGGUUUGGAAAUGGGUCAAGGGAAAAAGGUCUUGGUUGUGUGCCUCUCCACUCCCUCCUUUCCUUCCCUGUUCUUCUUCCUGAUUCGUCAUUUCUCAUUCUCUUCUCUCCCCAUUCGCCUAACCUCUCUCCUUUUUCCCUCAUGUUAUCUCUUUUUAUUCGUCCAUCUUCCUUUCUUCUCUCUCCUUUCCCUUUUUCUGAUUGGGCAAACCCUUCUCCACCCUCUCUUUUUUCUUUUCUUUUCUCCCCAGCCACAUAUGUGGCUUCCUUUCACCAAGAUAAGGCUCCCACAAAUCUGGAACCUUCCAGAUUCAUAGCAAAAUGACUAUUUUGCCCACACGUUCGUAUUGUCUAGUACUUCGAGAAUUCGCAAAAAGAGCAGCUUGUACACAUCACGAAAGACGACUAACGAAAGUCAACAUCCUCGCCUUUAAGGGCAUUUUCUUAAAAUCACUCUUUUAAAGGACGGGUUGUCACAAUGAUAAGGUAAGAUUUCACAACUAAAAUUAACAUGACAAGUUAAUAAAUUAUGGUUUUUUUUUUUUUUUUGAGCUCUUGAAGUCCUUAAUUUUAUAUAGAACUUCUAAUUGCCAUGGUAAUUUUUUUUUCUCUAAAACAAAAAUCACUCAUCAAAGUUGCAAAAGAAAUGUCGAUAGAAAAUGACGUAAUAAUGACUUCAAGAAAUAAGAGGUGCAGUGAGAUGGGAAAAUGCGUGAGAGCUGAUGUACUUUUUAGACACCAAAAUGGACCGUCUUUAAUUAAUUAGAUACUAAAAACCAUGCAAAUAUCAAGCAUUUGAGUUCCAGAUUGUCUUUUUCUAAAAGAGAACUAGCUUGUGGCUUCGUCACAACAGUCUACUUUUUUUUAAUGUAAGACUUUUUAAAACCAGAAUGUGCUGCUGUGUGGCAUAUUUUUGUUUUGGAUAAGGAUUUGGGAGUCAAAAAUUUUGUAGUUUUUGUUUUGGAUAAGGAUAAAAACAAACAUAAAACAUUACAUUAUUCGAGAGAAAAAUUGUCAAAGUUAAGAAGGCUUUGUACGAUUGUUUCGCAAAGCUUUUUGUUUUUGUGUUUUUGAUUUUUUUGUUUUUUGGGUAGAAGCGAUAGAGUUUCAUUACCACGAACAACCAAUUACAAGGGUGCCAAUGGGUACAUAUGCUCCAGUGACCAAUUUCUUGUUCUAGAGGUAAUUAGCUUGAAACACAAUUAAUUUUAAACCCCUAAACGGCUACCACACAAACCACACCACUAAAACGAAGAGACCCAAAACCGAUAUGCCCCAGAAUGACAUACCAAGCACCAAACCUUCACAAAAUCCAUCGCAAACAGGAGGCUACAUAAUCGCAAUAGCAACACAAACAUCUUGUCGAAGCAAUACAAACAAAACAUAAAACUACACUAGAAAAACAAAAAAGUUGAUGACGUGUCGUCAGU
RNAcentral lists this long non-coding RNA (2246 nucleotides) under Malus domestica (apple). Its description in RNAcentral is "long non-coding RNA (MDOM_LNC012027)". Lineage: Eukaryota; Viridiplantae; Streptophyta; Magnoliopsida; Rosales; Rosaceae. The record is from RNAcentral.